Molecule: ribosomal RNA, 429 nt
Filed under: Pseudomonadota bacterium
Lineage: Bacteria; Pseudomonadati; Pseudomonadota
Description: Proteobacteria bacterium partial 16S ribosomal RNA
Rfam family: Bacterial small subunit ribosomal RNA
Source: RNAcentral
UGGGGAAUAUUGGACAAUGGGGGGAACCCUGAUCCAGCCAUGCCGCGUGUGUGAAGAAGGCCUUAUGGUUGUAAAGCACUUUAAGCGAGGAGGAGGGUACUGGUAUUAAUACUACCAGGUACUGGACGUUACUCGCAGAAUAGCACCGGCUAACUCUGUGCCAGCAGCCGCGGUAAUACAGAGGGUGCGGGCGUUAAUCGGAAUUACUGGGCGUAAAGCGCGCGUAGGUGGUUCGUUAAGUUGAAUGUGAAAGCCCCGGGCUCAACCUGGGAACUGCAUCCAAAACUGGCGAGCUAGAGUAGGGCAGAGGGUGGUGGAAUUUCCUGUGUAGCGGUGAAAUGCGUAGAUAUAGGAAGGAACACCAGUGGCGAAGGCGACCACCUGGGCUCAUACUGACACUGAGGUGCGAAAGCGUGGGGAGCAAACAGG